Molecule: ribosomal RNA, 444 nt
Filed under: uncultured bacterium
Lineage: Bacteria
Description: bacterial SSU rRNA
Rfam family: Bacterial small subunit ribosomal RNA
Source: RNAcentral
AAUAGUUGCACAAUGGGGGAAACCCUGAUGCAGCCAUGCCGCGUGUGUGAAGAAGGCCUUCGGGUGUAAAGCACUUUCAGUAGGGAGGAAGGUAGUGUAGUUAACACCUGCAUUAUUUGACGUUACCUACAGAAGAAGCACCGGCUAACUCCGUGCCAGCAGCCGCGGUAAUACGGAGGGUGCGAGCGUUAAUCGGAAUUACUGGGCGUAAAGCGCAUGCAGGCGGCCUGUUAAGUCAGAUGUGAAAGCCCGGGGCUUAACCUCGGAAUUGCAUUUGAAACUGGCAGGCUAGAGUCUUGUAGAGGGGGGUAGGAAUUUCAGGUGUAGCGGUGAAAUAGCGUAGAGAUCUGAAGGAAUACCAGUGGCGAAGGCGGCCCCCCUGGACAAAGACUGACGCUCAGAUGCGAAAGCGUGGGGAGCAAACAGGAUUAGAUACCCUGGUAG